Molecule: long non-coding RNA, 136 nt
Organism: Hibiscus syriacus
Lineage: Eukaryota; Viridiplantae; Streptophyta; Magnoliopsida; Malvales; Malvaceae
Exons: 3
Source: RefSeq, a predicted model, not a curated record
CAGAUAUUGUUGAUGGAGUGGGUAGUUCCAGAUCUGUUAAUGGUUUCAAAAGCUCGUAUAGUUCUGUUGACUGGCUGGGGAGAGAAAUGCUUGAAAUGAGACUCAGAGACAAGGUGGACAAUGAUGAAGACAGAGU